This 404-nucleotide ribosomal RNA is filed under the name Actinomycetes bacterium. RNAcentral's name for it is "Actinobacteria bacterium partial 16S ribosomal RNA". It matches the Rfam family "Bacterial small subunit ribosomal RNA", at positions 355 to 776 of the family's 1533-position model. The record is from RNAcentral. Lineage: Bacteria; Bacillati; Actinomycetota; Actinomycetes.
UGGGGAAUAUUGGACAAUGGGCGCAAGCCUGAUCCAGCCAUGCCGCGUGAGUGAUGAAGGCCCUAGGGUUGUAAAGCUCUUUCACCGGUGAAGAUAAUGACGGUAACCGGAGAAGAAGCCCCGGCUAACUUCGUGCCAGCAGCCGCGGUAAUACGAAGGGGGCUAGCGUUGUUCGGAUUUACUGGGCGUAAAGCGCACGUAGGCGGACUAUUAAGUCAGGGGUGAAAUCCCGGGGCUCAACCCCGGAACUGCCUUUGAUACUGGUAGUCUUGAGUUCGAGAGAGGUGAGUGGAAUUCCGAGUGUAGAGGUGAAAUUCGUAGAUAUUCGGGGGAACACCAGUGGCGAAGGCGGCUCACUGGCUAGAUACUGACGCUGAGGUGCGAAAGCGUGGGGAGCAAACAGG